Molecule: ribosomal RNA, 253 nt
Filed under: uncultured bacterium
Lineage: Bacteria
Description: partial 16S ribosomal RNA
Rfam family: Bacterial small subunit ribosomal RNA
Source: RNAcentral
UACGUAGGUGGCAAGCGUUGUCCGGAUUUACUGGGCGUAAAGAGCGCGCAGGCGGUCGUUCAAGUCGCGUGUGAAAGCCCCCGGCUCAACUGGGGAGGGUCACGCGAUACUGAUCGACUCGAAGGCAGGAGAGGGAAGUGGAAUUCCCGGUGUAGUGGUGAAAUGCGCAGAUAUCAGGAGGAACACCGGUGGCGAAGGCGGUUCUCUGGGCAUUACCUGACGCUGAGGAGCGAAAGUGUGGGGAGCGAACAGG